GAGUGAACGCUGGCGGUAGGCCUAACACAUGCAAGUCGAACGGCAGCACAGUAAGAGCUUGCUCUUACGGGUGGCGAGUGGCGGACGGGUGAGGAAUACAUCGGAAUCUACUUUUUCGUGGGGGAUAACGUAGGGAAACUUACGCUAAUACCGCAUACGACCUACGGGUGAAAGCAGGGGAUCUUCGGCCCUUGCGCGAUUGAAUGAGCCGAUGUCGGAUUAGCUAGUUGGCGGGCUAAAGGCCCACCCAGGCGACGCGCCGUAGCUGGUCUGAGAGGAUGAUCAGCCAGACUGGAACUGAGACACGGUCCAGACUCCUACGGGAGGCAGCAGUGGGGAAUAUUGGACAAUGGGGGAAAGCCUGAUCCAGCCAUACCGCGUGGGUGAAGAAGGCCUUCGGGUUGUAAAGCCCUUUUGUUGGGAAAGAAAAGCAGCAGGUUAAUACCCCGCUGUUCUGACGGUACCCAAAGAAUAAGCACCGGCUAACUUCGUG
This 493-nucleotide ribosomal RNA is filed under the name uncultured bacterium. RNAcentral describes it as "partial 16S ribosomal RNA". It matches the Rfam family "Bacterial small subunit ribosomal RNA", at positions 27 to 507 of the family's 1533-position model. The record is from RNAcentral.